GUUUUUGAUCAUUACAAAUAAAGCUGUUAGGUACCUUUGUGUGUGGGAACACAUGUUGUGUGAACAUAUGCUUUUAUUUCUGUUGAGGUAUAAUUCACCUAUUGUCAAAUUCACUUUGAAGGUGUACAGAGUUGUAUGAAUUUUGACAAAUACAUAUAGUCAUUUAUCUACCAUCACAAUCAAGAUAUGGAAUCUUUCUAUUGUAGCAGGAUGAGUUGCAGAAAAACUCCUCAGACACCGGAUUAAAGAAGGAAGAGGUUUUUUAUUUGUCCGGGAGCGUCGGCAGACUCGCGUCUUAAGAGCCGAGCUCCCCGAAAAAGAAAUUCCUAGCCCUUUUAAGGCCUUACAACUCUAAGGAGUCUACGUGAAAGAGUCAUAAUAGAUCAAACAAAUUAAGAAUUCAGAGCCCAAUCCUAACUUCAAGCCAAGAAGUAAAAAAAGGAAGAAAAAAUCAAGACGCUCAGAACAGAACUCCAGCAAUAUUGAACCCAGGAAAAACGUCUUCACAAAUACAAAAGUGUUUCAAGGAAAAAUUGAAGUCACUCCUGCCCACAUCCACUGCCCAGUGUAACCGCCCUUAAAGAUUGCUGUGUAUUUGUGUACUAAUUUUUCUGUGUUUAUAAAAUCAUUCAUAUAUUUAUUAAUAACAUGUUUAGAAGAAAUCUCUGCAUUAACCUCAGGGCACACAGCUGUCUUUGAUCGCCCCCAACUCCUCAGAAUGUCCUGCCUCCAUUUCACUCUCCCACAGCUGACUUUCUCCCAUGCUUAGGCCCCCCAAGAGCACCUGCUGAAAAACUACUUCCAACCUUAAGCUCAGGCCCUGACUCACAGCCCUUUAUUCUAACAGAGCCCCUAGGUGUUUGGGCAGAGGUAGGUGGGUAUUACGAGGGAAGCGGGAGGAGGACAGUGAGGCCCCUUAAGUUCUUUGUCCUGGCCAGGCGGCUGCCCUCCUGCAUUACAGGUCUCCACAGGAUAGGUCCCAAUUCCCAACUACUUUCAAUUGGUGGGGUGUGGAUUGGCAGGAUGGGUUAAUGCUCUGCCACAACUUUCUCACUUUAUAAUGGGAGCUGUAUGGUAAAUUCACCUGAUAGUAAUAACUUAAGCAUAUCCUGAGAAUGAUCCUGUAUGGCAGACGCACCUGAAUCCUGAAUGUGUGUUUGAAGUUCUGAGCUAAGAAAUCUGGGGGUGGCCAACACAGAGAUUCAUUUCUUAUUUAUGAAGAAGCUGUGAACCCCCAGCCGUCCCGUCCCAUGGAAUGUGGGCUAUACAGGGGUUCAAGGCCCUGUAUUUUGGGUUAAAUGAAGACUGCCAGGUGGAGGUUGUUAGGGGGAGGCUGUGAAGUGAAAAUACUAUAUAAGGCCGGGCGCGGUGGCUCACACCUGUAAUCCCAGCACUUUGGGAGGCCGAGGUGGGCGGAUCAUGGGGUCAAGAGAUCGAGACCAUCCUGGCCAACAUGGUGAAACCCCGUCUCUACUAAAAAUACAAAAAAGUUAGCUGGGCAUGUUAGCACGUGCGUGUAGUCCCAGCUACUCGGGAGGCUGAGGCAGGAGAAUCGCUUGAACCCAGGAGGUGGAGGUUGCAGUGAGCCGAGACCGCGCCACUGCACUCCAGCCUGGCGACUGAUCGAGACUCCAUCUCAAAAUAAAACCCUCUAUAAAUUGUGUGACUUUAUUUUGCAAGUGGUUGUGGUUCUGUUGUCCAGCCCACUGUCGUUGGGUCUUGUUCCCCAAUUGUAAGCCCUCAAUAAAACCUCAUGUCUC
RNAcentral lists this long non-coding RNA (1760 nucleotides) under Homo sapiens (human). RNAcentral describes it as "HSALNT0285556". The record is from RNAcentral. Lineage: Eukaryota; Metazoa; Chordata; Mammalia; Primates; Hominidae.